UCUCUAUGGAGCCUGUUCACUGUGUGAGC
RNAcentral lists this non-coding RNA (29 nucleotides) under Homo sapiens (human). The record is from RNAcentral. Lineage: Eukaryota; Metazoa; Chordata; Mammalia; Primates; Hominidae.